CAGAUUUACAAUCUUCCAGCCAUUCUGAGCAAGAAAGAAGAGACGUACCUAAACGAGGCAGGGUUUAAUUUUGUGAGGAAAUGUAUUGACUUGGUGGAGGUACGAGGGAUCAACACAUUGGGCCUCUACAGAAUAGGAGGGGUCAACUCUAAGGUCCAGAAGUUGAUGACCACUGUGUUUGGUAA
This is a long non-coding RNA of Oncorhynchus kisutch (coho salmon), 185 nucleotides long. RefSeq lists it as uncharacterized. The transcript has 3 exons. NCBI's taxonomy places the organism in Eukaryota, Metazoa, Chordata, Actinopteri, Salmoniformes, Salmonidae. The record is from RefSeq and is a predicted model, not a curated record.